This is a long non-coding RNA of Bombus huntii, 469 nucleotides long. RefSeq lists it as uncharacterized. Lineage: Eukaryota; Metazoa; Arthropoda; Insecta; Hymenoptera; Apidae. The transcript is spliced from 3 exons. The record is from RefSeq and is a predicted model, not a curated record.
CCCUCCCCUCGGCUUCGACUUCGGUGCAAGGAAUGUAAACCCUCACCUGGAGCAUUCGAUUAUAUAUUGGCAUAAAUUUAUAAUACUUCAAAGCACUCGGAAGACGUAUUAUUUCUAAGUUUUUGCCAGCUUUUUAUAUAAAAUAUUCUUCGUACCUCUGCUGACGCUUCGGCGCAUCGGUGCAGGUUGAGGGACAGAGACAUAGUUUCUAAGUGCUCGGCCACGUUUGUCCUGAAUUAGUUUGUCCACUUUAACGAAGAUACCGCAUUUCGGUCGACACGUGAAGUACCUAUGGCCAUUCACAGCACCAUCGUUUUUACCUAAACGUGAGGAUAAUAAAAGCGAACGUUACCUGUCGGGGCAUCGAGUUCAACUCCUAUCCACGUCCCGGAUGCAAACUCUGUUGGGCCAACGUACGCUAUGACACCAGAAUAGCUGUAUGGGCGAACCAGCACCGAUUCACCAACUA